Non-coding RNA from Ictidomys tridecemlineatus (thirteen-lined ground squirrel), 73 nucleotides. Lineage: Eukaryota; Metazoa; Chordata; Mammalia; Rodentia; Sciuridae. The record is from Rfam.
GGGGAUAUAGCUCAGUUGGUAGAGUGCUUUCCUCGCAUAUACAAGGCCCUGGGUUCAAUCCCCAGUACCACCA